AACAAAAACAAAUGAGGGAAGCGGUUGUAGAAAGCCCAUUAACGCGCGUAAUCGGCUUUUGCUGUCACUGCAACAGUGACGACGUCUAGAUGCAGGGAGAGAUAGGAAAGCCAGAAGGUGAUACACUGAUACUGAUACUCGAUCCUUGCACAGAAGAUCAAUUUGCCAUGGUUGAGUACUUGAAUUGAUGGAUCCCCAGGCAGAAUAGAUUGAAAUGGUGAUUGCUGAACCUGAAAGGAAGCUUGUUACUGUGAGAUUUUUUAUGAGGUGAGUCCCAAUCUCUGCAAUAGCAUCUCAGCUUGUGGCUAAUCGGUAAUGUGAACUUUCUUCCUUGGUGGAUGGAAUAUAGUCCCAAAGGCCAUGAACUUCCAAAAAUGGAAGGCGUCUGUACGGUUCUGCUUGAUGUGAACCCCAAGGGCCCCCCAUAUCCCGGCUCGACAGAACAUUUAGAAUGUUGUAAACAAUGGCUCAGCAGACAGAGUCAAAUAUCAGUGCGUACACGGGAUCUGCUCACUUUGGGCAUUUAGUUUGAGCAGUUCUGAGCAGACGAAAUAGGAAGAUGCUGAGUAGGAAGCGUGUGCACACCAAAGUUUUAACCUUUUGUGCCAUUGAUAAGCCUGCAAAACAAGGUUUGAUAUGGUUGUUAAGUGUUUUUGUCCCACCACAGGAACAGGAUACAGUCAAAACUAGACAACGCUUGCCAGUCAAAAGGAACUGACGCGCAGUUGUAGUUGUGGAACAGUUCCAAUUGCCUUAAACAACCACUUCAUUGUCACUGAGGUUGUUAAACUAAAAGCUUCUAGCAAAAAGAUUAUUUUACUCCAAUCCUGAGAAUUUCUAUUUUUCUUUGAAUUGGUCAA
Ipomoea nil (Japanese morning glory) is the source of this 860-nucleotide long non-coding RNA. RefSeq lists it as uncharacterized. The record is from RefSeq and is a predicted model, not a curated record. NCBI's taxonomy places the organism in Eukaryota, Viridiplantae, Streptophyta, Magnoliopsida, Solanales, Convolvulaceae. The transcript has 4 exons.